UGUUUGUACCUCCUUCUUCCUCUGCUGGACUAUGGGUUUAUCUAAGAAGAACCAUCUCAUAAAUAUGCAAAUUACUUGAGUCUAUGGUGGUAAAUACAAGGAUUCCACACCCCUAAGACAACAUCUGGUCAGUGUCCUCUCCACAGUCAGAGAACACACUGCCCCUAAGGAUGGAAUGGAGCUGGAUCAUCCUCUUCCUCCUUUCAGUAACUACAGGUGUCCACUCUCAGGUCCAGCUGCAGCAGUCUGGGGCUGAGCUGGUGAGACCUGGGUCCUCAGUGAAGUUGUCCUGCAAGGCUUCUGGCUACACCUUCACCAGCUACUAUAUGAGCUGGGUGAUACAGAGACCUGGACAGGGGCUGGAGUGGAUUGGGUGGAUUUAUCCUGGAAAUGGUGAUACUAGCUACAAUCAGAAGUUCAAGGGCAAGGCCAAGUUAACUGCAGACAAAUCCUCCAGCACAGCCUACAUGGAGCUCAGCAGCCUGACAUCUGAGGACUCUGCUGUCUAUUACUGUGCGAGAGACACAGUGCUGCAACCACAUCCUGAAUGUCCAAUCCCAGGUUACCCUGAGUCUGGCCCUGGCCUCUUGCAGCCCUCGCAGACCCUCAGUCUGACCUGCAUUUUCUCUAGAUUUUCCUUGAGUACUUCUAAUAUAGGUGUGGGCUGGAUCCGUCAGCCCUUAGGGAAGGGUAUGCAGUGGCUGGCUAACAGUUGGUGGAAUGAUGAAAAGUACUACAACCCGACCCUGAAAAACCGGCUCACAAUCUCCAAGGACAGCUCCAAAAACCAGGUAUCCCUCAAGAUAACCAAUGUGGACACUGCAGAUAUUGCCACCUACUACUGUGCUUGGAGAGCACAUUGA
Non-coding RNA from Acomys russatus (golden spiny mouse), 863 nucleotides. The record is from the annotation of a RefSeq genome assembly. NCBI's taxonomy places the organism in Eukaryota, Metazoa, Chordata, Mammalia, Rodentia, Muridae.